AUUGUAGUUCAAAAUAAUCAUAGAUGAUAAAUUUGAAACAAAAUGGAGAAGGGAUUGAAAAGAGGAAAUCAUUGUCAAAGCUAUAACACAGAAAUCCAAAUAUCCCAUAUAGAUGGGUUUGCCUAAAUCAAACAGCGCCUGAUUCAUAUAUUAUUUUAGAGCAUCCAACUCAGAAGCAUAAACCAUUUGAUUGUGAAUCUAUACACAACAUAAACACAUAUCAUAGUCCUUGCACAAUCUAUGUCAGAUUCUAA
Molecule: unclassified non-coding RNA, 254 nt
Filed under: Hevea brasiliensis (rubber tree)
Lineage: Eukaryota; Viridiplantae; Streptophyta; Magnoliopsida; Malpighiales; Euphorbiaceae
Source: RNAcentral